UACGAAGGGGGCUAGCGUUGCUCGGAAUCACUGGGCGUAAAGCGCACGUAGGCGGUUUCUUAAGUCAGGGGUGAAAUCCCGGAGCUCAACUCCGGAACUGCCUUUGAUACUGGGAGACUUGAGUUCGGGAGAGGUGAGUGGAACUGCGAGUGUAGAGGUGAAAUUCGUAGAUAUUCGCAAGAACACCAGUGGCGAAGGCGGCUCACUGGCCAGAUACUGACGCUGAGGUGCGAAAGCGUGGGGAGCAAACAGG
RNAcentral lists this ribosomal RNA (253 nucleotides) under uncultured bacterium. Its description in RNAcentral is "partial 16S ribosomal RNA". It matches the Rfam family "Bacterial small subunit ribosomal RNA", at positions 524 to 776 of the family's 1533-position model. The record is from RNAcentral.